This 71-nucleotide transfer RNA is filed under the name Loxodonta africana (African savanna elephant). It matches the Rfam family "tRNA". Rfam says of the family: Transfer RNA (tRNA) molecules are approximately 80 nucleotides in length. Lineage: Eukaryota; Metazoa; Chordata; Mammalia; Proboscidea; Elephantidae. The record is from Rfam by way of RNAcentral.
GCAGUGGUGAUUCACUGGUAGAAUUCUCGCCUUCCACGCAGGAGAUCCCGGUUCAAUACCCAGCCAGUGCA